AAACGACUCUCGGCAACGGAUAUCCCGGCUCUCGCAUCGAUGAAGAACGUAGCGAAAUGCGAUACUUGGUGUGAAUUGCAGAAUCCCGUGAACCAUUGAGUCUUUGAACGCAAGUUGCGCCUGAAGCCACUAGGCUGAGGGCACGUCUGCCUGGGUGUCACGC
Molecule: ribosomal RNA, 163 nt
Filed under: Chaerophyllum bulbosum
Lineage: Eukaryota; Viridiplantae; Streptophyta; Magnoliopsida; Apiales; Apiaceae
Also listed under: 1 other name
Description: 5.8S ribosomal RNA
Rfam family: 5.8S ribosomal RNA
About the family: 5.8S ribosomal RNA (5.8S rRNA) is a component of the large subunit of the eukaryotic ribosome. It is transcribed by RNA polymerase I as part of the 45S precursor that also contains 18S and 28S rRNA. Functionally, it is thought that 5.8S rRNA may be involved in ribosome translocation.
Source: RNAcentral